AGUGCGUACUAGGUUCUUCGGCUUUUCGUCGGUUUUCUUGUUGUGGCCUUUAUUGGUGGCGGCAAGUGGCUGACAAUUUUACUUUGAACAAAUCAGAGUGCUCAAAACAGGCGUUUCGCUUGUAUGUUUUUGCAUGGAAUAAUAGAAUAUGACUUCGGUCUAGUUUUAUUGGUUUUAUUGAUCGUUGUAAUGAUUAAAAGAGACAAACGGGGGCAUUCGUAUUGUUGCGUGAGAGGUGAAAUUCUUGGACCGCAGCAAGACGACCUACAGCGAAAGCAUUUGCCAAGCUUGUCUUCAUUAAUCAAGAACGAAAGUCAGAGGAUCGAAGGUGAUCAGAUACCGCCCUAGUUCUGACCGUAAACGAUGCCAACUAGCGAUUCGCCGGUGGAAUAUUUGCCCUGGCGAGGAGCUUCCCGGAAACGAAAGUCUUCCGGUUCCGGGGGAAGUAUGGUUGCAAAGCUGAAACUUAAAGGAAUUGACGGAAGGGCACCACCAGGAGUGGAGCCUGCGGCUUAAUUUGACUCAACACGGGAAAACUCACCCGGCCCGGACACUAUAAGGAUUGACAGAUUGAUAGCUCUUUCAUGAUUUGGUGGAUGGUGGUGCAUGGGCCGUUCUUAGUUCGUGGAGUGAUUUGUCUGGUUUAUUCCGAUAACGAGCGAGACUCUAGCCUACUAAAUAGUUCGCUCAUUGUUUAUUGUGUAGCGGUACUUCCUAGAGGAAUUUUCGG
This 730-nucleotide ribosomal RNA is filed under the name uncultured eukaryote. RNAcentral's name for it is "SSU rRNA". It matches the Rfam family "Eukaryotic small subunit ribosomal RNA", at positions 674 to 1426 of the family's 1831-position model. The record is from RNAcentral.